CACUUACUCCCUCGGUCCAAAAAAACUUGUUCCAAAUUUCUCUCUCAAAUGGAUGUAUCUAGCACUAACUUGGUGCUAGAUACAUCCAUUUGAGGGACAAGUUUUUUCGGACGGAGGGAAUAUGUA
Non-coding RNA from Triticum aestivum (bread wheat), 126 nucleotides. NCBI's taxonomy places the organism in Eukaryota, Viridiplantae, Streptophyta, Magnoliopsida, Poales, Poaceae. The record is from Rfam.